GGGGAGUUAGCUCAAUUGGUAGAGCACCUGCCUUGCACGCAGGAUGUUAGGGGUUCAAGUCCCCUACUCUCCA
This 73-nucleotide transfer RNA is filed under the name Enterococcus sp. RNAcentral describes it as "tRNA-Ala". It matches the Rfam family "tRNA". Rfam says of the family: Transfer RNA (tRNA) molecules are approximately 80 nucleotides in length. Their secondary structure includes four short double-helical elements and three loops (D, anti-codon, and T loops). Lineage: Bacteria; Bacillati; Bacillota; Bacilli; Lactobacillales; Enterococcaceae. The record is from RNAcentral.